RNAcentral lists this long non-coding RNA (23683 nucleotides) under Daucus carota (carrot). Its description in RNAcentral is "long non-coding RNA (DCAR_LNC001130)". The record is from RNAcentral. Lineage: Eukaryota; Viridiplantae; Streptophyta; Magnoliopsida; Apiales; Apiaceae.
UCUGUUCAACAUAUCAAUGAAGGUGUCUUCGUUGCAUGGAAUUGUGAGGCCGCCUUCUGGAUGACUAAACCCAAAUUCUUCCUCUGCUUGACUUAACAGGUCUUGGAAAGUAGGCUCGUUUAAGUAAGAGAUCGGAACUACAAAUCUUCUUCUUUGGUCCUCCCCGACAUAAACUGCCAUGCAUCCCUUCGGGACAUUUGUACUACGAUCAAGAUUUGUUGAGGAGAAUUGGCGGUUGAGAAUUUGCUUGAGACUAGUGAUACGAGGAACAUGAAUACCCAUGAUGCUAAAAUCAAAAAUUUGUAGUAUUCAGGAUAAACUCUGCUGAUAUUGAAAUACAAGGACUUGUGCAGAUGGAAGGCUUAGACACUUGAAUACAAUUGAUUAUGUGAUGAAUUUGGUUGAGUUUAUAAUAGCUAUUUUAUAGAGCACAUAGGAAGUAGUAUCGAACGAUUGAACAUUUGAUUGAGUGGCGCAGAUGAAUUAGGCAUUAGCACAUGCUAUUCUCUCUCAAUGGCCACAUAUGUUUAAGAUUUAUGGUAGGACUUAAAUGUCUGUUAAGAAACAUCAUGUCCUACUACUUUUGUUCUACAAAUCUGAACCUGAUAUCUUCUCAUCUAAAUAUGUGUUAUGUGAACGCCAUACAAAUAAUUUGGCUUGAAACUCUUGAGUUUUAGUUAGGUGCUCAUGUGAUAGUGUUUUCAUUCACCCAUCCUAGCUGUUAUUUUGUUGCAUUGAUGAAUCAUUUAGUAGAAAACAGUAGCUGCUGGGGCUUAAUCAAGCAGACUCCGUAGGGCUUGAUGUCUCGCAACACACAUAAAUCAAAUCUUCUUGGUCAUAUAUACUUGUAGCUAUUAGAACAGAAUAUCAUGUGCAAGUGUCUAUUGCUUCUUCGCCCCACGGAUAAUAUUUUGGAUAAAUUGUUUGAGAAGUUCUAUCAUCUAUGUUCUAUAUAUACAUAUAUUUAAGCAUUAGUAGAAUUCAUCACAAACUCAAUUGCUUCAAGCCUUAAACUUACAUUUCCUUGCGUUUCUGGUGUAUCGCCCAACUCUUCACUAAAAUAUCUAUAGCAGAAUGGGUAUUCGCGUGCCUCGCAUUGCUAAUCUCAAACAAAUCCUCAACCGGUCAUCUUUCCUGAUAAAUCCUGAUCUUACUUCAACGAUUCCAAAGGGGUGCUUGGCAGUUUAUAUUGGGGAGAGCCAAAGAAGCCGAUUUGUUGUUCCUGUUUCAUACCUGAAUGAGCCGGACUUUCAAGAAUUGUUAAGUCAAGCUGAGGAAGAAUUUGGAUUCAAUCAUCCGGAAGGAGGUCUUACAAUUCCAUGCUCAGUGGACACAUUCAAUGAAAUCACUUCGCGCCUGAACAGAUUAUAACGGAAACCAAUUCAUAUACAUGUAGAUAGUAUUCCGAUCUCAUUUGAUGAGCUUCUGAGUGUAAAUUGUAGAAUAGGAUUAGUUUAUAACUAUUAUGUAGGCAACGUCUAAUUUGAUCCCCCAUUUUUGUUGAUAUUUCUACCAUUUCUUAUAACAAGUUUACGUUGAGCAGUAAAAAAUUCCAAUUAUCAUACCUGAAUGAGGCUGCCUUCCAAGACUUGUCAAGUUAAGCCCAAGAAGAACAUGUGUUGAAUCAUUCAAAAGGUGCCUUCAUAAUUCUCGACACCUUCAUUAACCUCACUUUGAAAAAAAUUAAAUUGUUAAAUAGUAAAGCAUCUCCAAACAUGUAAACUUAAAUGUAUCUGGAGUCGUUAUUAUUAGACGUGUGGCUUUACAUAGUGGUUUUAUGUGUUUGUCAGCUCCGGAGCAUUAAGAACUCCCGCGAAAGAAAAAGGGAAAAUUAUCAAGUUGAUCACUCGUUUCAUUCAAAUAUAUCAAGUAGAUCAUUACUUUCUAGUUUGACUCAAGUUAAUCUAUUCUUUCUGUUAAUUUGUACAUGUCGUUAGGCUCAACUCUGCUUUUUAGUCAUUUAUAAUAUCAAAUGUUAAUAUUUAUGUUAAUUAUCGACCCGGAACAGCGUGAAAGUAAAUAGGAUAACCUCACAUGUAAAUGAACUUCAAAAAUUUAUAAGCUCUACUGGUUAGGUCAUGACAUAAAUUCUUGUGAUCUUCAUUUACAUGUCAGACUAUCCUAGUCACUUCCAUGCUGCACUCGAUAACUAACGAAAAUAUUAACAGUAAUUGUUGUAAUUGAUUGAAAAAGAGAUUAGAUUCAUACUGCUUGUACGGAAUAACAGAGUGAAUGGUUAACUUGAGUCAAACUGGAAAGUAAUGAUUUACUUGAUAUAUUUGGAUGAAACGAGUGACUAACUUGAUAUUUUUCCCAAAAGAAAAAUAUCAUCGGGGGUAUGAAACUGGCAAGGAGUAGAGAUCGACCGAACAAGAAAGAUUAAGCAAAAUAAAAAGAAAUUCUGACAAUACAUAGAGGGUUCAUUCGAUUUCUCUUUGAUUAUUUUUCAAGUUGAUCUACCAAACCUUCUUGUGAUCUAUGUUGAAUGGUUAAUUAUGUGAACAAGCAAUUGUUCAUAUUAUUAUUAUUAAUUAUCAAUGGAGCCACCCCCUUUUCUUUAGGAAUGUGACACUAUUUUUUAGAUCCUUUAAUUUGAUGAACAAAAACAUAACCAAACCUGAACAAAAUUACAUCAACUGUCCUUGCAAAAAAAGAAAUUUAAAGAAAGGAGAAACUUAUGGUAGAUAUUUAAACCUUCACAAUAAAGGGAAGAUGGACAACGAAAGAACUUUUAAAAAAUAUAUCCAGAAUCCAGGAAUAGGCUACUAGUAAAGGUUGGUCCUUGACCUUUCCCUAAUGACAAGGUCAGUGGUUCAUAUCCACACUCCACUUCGCUAUGAAGUUCCGUGUUAUAAGCAUGCAUGUUUUUAUUCCUUAGCAAUUCAUUUCUCAUACAAUGCUCAAGCAAGAAGUGAGUUUAAAGAAUAUGUCUACUCUACAUGGAAUAGUAAGACCACCUUCUACAUGAUCAACUAUGAAUUCUUUUUCGGCUUGAGUCAAUAAAUUUUGAUAGGGAGGUUCACUUAAAUAUGCUAUCGGGAUUGUAUAAGCUACUUCUCUGGCCUCCCCAACAUAAACUGCCAUAAGCCUUUUGGAAGAAGAAGCACUGUUGAACUAGCAAGAUAUCUCAACAAAACAGAGAAGACUGAUUGAUACUUUUCUUAACAUGAGAAAUAACAGUCAUACGGUUUUCAUGGUGUAAUGAAAAAAUUGACAGGAAUGAUUAUAUAAUGAAAGUAGAUGUGGAUGAAAAUUUUGAUGGUUCGGCUAAUUAGUUUAUGUUGACUUGUUUGCAGUUCCAUUUUUCUGCGAUUAGAUAUAAAAAGGAGAAAUGAAAUAUCAUCUAAAAUAUGAGAAAUUCACACGCCUUUCUCUUUGGCUCACCACAUAGAUUAACAACUCAGAGGCCAUAUCUAUUUCUGCUAGGAAACAUCUCAUGUUCCCAAUUGAUUGCUUAUGUGCACCACCUCAAAAAUCAACACUUCUGCAUCAGAUAAAGAUUUCAAGAGAGAGUAGCACAUGGGUCUGUAUUUAUGUUACCCUACUGCUUCUUGUACCACAAAGCCAAAUACAUGCUUCAGACAAGGAUUAGAAGGUUGAUUUUACGUUUGAUUAUGUUAAAAAUUCAAAUAAUUGGACUCCUAAAAAUUUAAGGCAGAGCUAUCAGACAACUAAGAUAUUUGAUUAUCCUUGGUAUGUGUAGGGCAAGUUGUGUCUUGGUAAGCAGAGACAUAUAUCCCAAACUUCUCCAACCUUGCUACACAUUCUGUAUUUGUAGGACAUCACCAUGUGCUAGUGACUUAUUAUUUCAUUUUCAGUGUUCAAGAAACCUUCUAUAUAAACAUAGCGAAUUUGACAUAAAUCAACACAAGGCUUACUAGCAAACCUUCAUUUCUUUCAUCAAGCAUCGUCCACGUAUAACAUAAAUCAAGUAUCUGUGAUCAGUUCCACGUUAUUCUGAAAUUUAUCGAAAUUGGCAUAUAAUAGUGGGUUAACAGAUAAAUUUCUUGAAAAUUGAUAUGGGAGAAAGCAGCCUCUUAUCUUAUAUUCCUAUAUUUCAGAAAGAUUUAGUCAGAACCUAUUACAGUUUCUCUGUGAUCAUAUUUACUAGACCGAAAUUGAUCAGGCAUCGACCUGCAGAAGAUACUUGGCAAGGUAUAACAAUAAUGCUUCAAGUUGCUUCAAGUUAAAUCUGCAGCACAUACAUUAUUUCAUUUAUUUUAUGUUAGAGAUUGAUCACCCCUAGACAAAAAAUGCGCUACAUUAUGUGUUCUACAAAUGUAUACCUGAUCAAGACUUGAUAUGAAAUUACAAAUUCAAAUUGGAACUUUAAGUUGAUAUUUUGACGAUAUGAUUUAUUUUUUCAGAUUUAUAGUUGAUUAUUAGUUUGAGUUUUAUGCAUAAUUGGUUUGGUUUUUGACUUAUUAUGAAUUGAUAAUGACAUAGCUGUAAUAAGAGUUGCAUGCUAGUAAUUUGGGUUGAGUUAUGUGUGAUUAUGUUUAUGUAUCACUGAGUUUGGUAUAUGAGGGCAGCCCUGUGAUUUUAUGUUCAUGGAAUGGUGAUAUCUUUAAAUUUAAUUAUGAAUUCUGUGAUUUUAUUGAGUUGAUUGCUUUUAGUUUCAUCUGCAUGCCCUGUCCUAUGCUAAAUCUGCAGCCUUGAGUUUAUAUGUGCUGUGUUCAAUUCGAAAAUUUGGGGAAAACAGGCCUAAUGACAUGAGACUUUGAUUAUCUAAUGACCUUGAUGUGGACCAAGAGAAUUUGGCUAAAUUUUAAAUCAAAUAACGAAUGUUAUGUGAGGAUUCAGUUCUGAUAUAAGUGUGUAGUGAUUAUUAAAAAACCAUAAAUCUUGUUAGCAUAUAAAUGGAUAAUAAGAGAAAUUUUAUGAAUUUCAUAAGUGCUUGAUGCUUCUGUUCUUGAAUCCAAUAAUGUAGAAUUUAUAAAAACAACUAAUUCAAGGUUUAAGAAAUUUAGACAGAUCGAGUGUUAAUUCCAGUCAUUAAGAAAGGCAUACUUGCUCUGAUACCACUGUUGAGCCAGCUAAGCAAGCCAGUUACGGACCAGUUACGGACCAAUUACGGUCCAACCUUGCUCUGAGCCAAGACUCCACAAUAGUACGAUAUUGUCCGCUUUGGUACGAUAUUGUCCGCUUUGGGCCUAGCCCGCAUGGCUUUGUUUUUGGGCACCUCUCAAAAGGCCUCGUUCUAUUGGAGUUGUUCUGGCUGCUUAUAUUCUAACUUUAUGCUCCUCCCACAACCGAUGUGGGAUUUGUUCUAACAGUAACUUUUGAGACAGAUUCUAUUUCUGGUGGUAAACAUCUCAUGGACCCAGUUGAAUGCUUAUACAUAGAAGAACAGAGAAGUAAUCAAUUAUUAAACAUCAAUCAAGAGAUUACAAUAGAAAGUAGCACAUCAGUUUGUACCUGCAUUACCUUACUACUUCCCGUACCACAAAAAUAUAAUAUAUGUGCUCAGACAAGGGUUAGAUGGUAUGAUUCCUGUGUGAUGGUGUUUAAAAUCUCAAAAAAUAGACAACCUAUAAAUUCAAGAUCAUCAUAUGUAAUACGGCAGGGUGUGUCUUGGUCAUACAGUCUUCCUAUUCAUUUGAUAUUUGUAGGACAAAACCAUGUGGAAGUGACUUAUUAUCACCAAUGUAUAUGCAUUAGUAGUCCUUAAUUUACUAUUCAAGAAUUGGUUCAUCUGCUAUAUAAGCACAUCAUUGGGAUUUUAACGGAAACCAUUUUAAGCUUAACACUAUUAACCUUCAUUUGUUCGUCUAGCCAUUGGUUAGUCAUCUACCUCAUUAACAUUCAUUCCAUGCACAUAAAGUCACUUACAAUCACGUCUAUUCACAUUCCUCGUAUUCCUCAUGUCAAGCAAAUUUGUGAAAAAAAAUCUGCAUAUACAGCAAAACAAUUAGCAGCGACGUCUAUGGAUAUAAAGAAGUUGCUGGAUAUCUCGUAGGUGGAAAAAACAUUGUCACAUGAAGACCUUAUUUGUGAACCCCGCCAUAAAACAAUUAAGUCUCUAGGAAAAUUGUAGGACAUCAAGUGUUAAUGUAUACCAUUUCAAUAUAAUGUCACUUUCUGUAAAUUUGUUGUGGAUGAUUUGAUAAGUAGGGGCAUGCUGUCUUGCAACAGACAGAGAAGUCAUUCUAUCUGUCAUAAAUAUAUGUAGCUAUUGAAAGAGAAAUUCAUGUGCUAGUGUCUAAUGCCUCUUCACCACUCAAGUUACAUUUUGAUGAACUGUUCAAUUUUCUAUAUAAAUACAUAACUGGGUAUUAAUAAAUUUCACCACAAAACUCAAUUGUCUAAAGUCUUCACUAUACAAGUCCUUUACUUUCUCCAUAUUCUCUAAUUGAUCUAAUAGUAUUAUGGGUAUUCGUUUGCCUCGUGUUACCAAUCUCAAGAAAAUCCUUAACCCGUCAUCUUUCUUGAUAAGUCCUGAUUAUACUUCAACAGUUCCAAAGGGUUGCUUGGCAGUAUAUAUUGGGGAGAAGCAAAGAAGAAGAUUUGUGGUUCCCAUUUCAUACCUGAAUGAUCCUGCCUUCCAAGACUUGUUAAAUCAAGCUGAGGAAGAAUUUGGGUUCAGCCAACCAGAAGGCGGCCUCACUAUUCCCUGCUCAGUGGACACAUUCAUUCACCUUGCUUCACACCUGGAUAGAUCAUAGAGAAAAACAUUUAUAUACUGGUAGAUAGUAUGGCAUUGAAAUGUAAAUAGUAGAAUAGAGAUUUUAAUCAGAUUUUUGUUGGCAACGGAUGAUUUGAAGCUCACCAUUUUGUUGAAUUUAACUUUACCAAAAUUUAUCCAUCAUAGUUUCUUCUUAAAAAUCUCUAUUCUACUAUUUAAUAUAAAGAACUAAAAAAUUUGAUUGCCAAAUUAGUAACUUUUUCUUGUAAUAUAUGCACUCGUAAAGCAAAUUAGGGAUUUUGAAAUCUCCUUAUGAUUUGCAUCCAAUGACAUUCGCAUAGAAAAGAAAAUGAUCUGAAGACUGCAGGCUCUUCCUUAGAUUUUAGGCAUCCAGGAGAUUUUCUGAUUACAAUGAGACAGCAAAUUUUCUUCUGUCUUGGCUACCUGCUGCAUGUAAUGACAUAUGAUUCGAACUGUGAAUGUCAAGUCUGGUCAGAGUUAGAAAGUUAAACUUAUCUACCCAGAACCAAUAAAUGAUGUUCUUGAUAAAAACAGCAAAUUUCAGAGGCAAUGAUUGUUGAAUGCAGACAGGUUUACAUAUUAUCCUUUAGGUGGUACUAACAUAAAAUGGAAUGAAACGACAAGCUUAUCAGUGGCUUCGUGGCUUACAUGAAGACUACAAAAAAACCUGCACAACUGAAAUUGUAAGGUUGAGUAUGUCAACUGCUAGAGUGAAUUUGAAUAAACAAGUUCUUCACAUCAAUCCAAAGAGAUCUCGGUAAUCCCAGGAGAGCAAUAUGUAUGAAUAAAUAGAUGCUAAUCAAUUAAGCAAAAUAAAUUCUUCACUGAUAUGUAAAAAUAAUAAUUCUGUGUAAUGAGAUGGUUACUCUAAUCUUCCCUAGGUUAUCAAAUGGAAGCGGAUUGAGUAGUAUACAGUACAAACCAGAACCUUACAAAAUUGUUAGUACCAGAUUAUAGCUACUUGUUUCUUAUAUCUGCGCAAGACUAAACUGAGGUUAACCAAUGUCUUCUCUACACGGAAAAGCCACUUCAAACAAUAAAGACAUAGAAAUUGCUCUUCUUUUGAACAAUUACAUUUGUGAUCGGACCAAUAAUGUAUAAAGCUGCUUAUCUAUAUUUCAAAUAAAAAUGACUACAUACUGAUUGCAGAGAUCAAAUCCAUGUAGAAAUUAAUGAAAUCAAAUUACAAAGUAUCAGCUAAUGUUCUACCUACAAGAUUUAUAUGAGAGCCAUAUAUAAAAUUUCUAGACUAGCUUACAAAAUUUGUACACUGUCUAACAACAUAUAUAUAAACUCUCAUAAUCUGUUCAAGAGAUCAAUGAAGGUGUCUUCUUUGCAUGGAAUUGUGAGGCCACCUUCUGGCUGACUAAACCCAAAUUCUUCCUCUGCUUGACUUAACAGUUCUUGGAACGUAGGCUCGUUUAAGUAAGAAAUCGGAACUACAAAUCUUCUUCUUUGGUUCUCCCCAACAUAAACUGCAAUGCAUCCCUUAGGGACAUUUGUACUACGAUCAAAAUUUUUUAAGGAAAAUUGUCUGUUGAGAAUUUGCUUGAGAUUAGUGAUAUGAGGCACACGAAUACCCAUGAUGCUCAAGAAAAAUUGAAACUUCAACGGAUAAUCUCUGGGGAUAUCGAAAAUACAAGAACUUCUGAAGAUGGAAGGCUUAGACCCUUAAUUACACUUGAUUUUGUGAUGAAAUUGGUUGAGGAUAUCACAGUUUUUAUAUAGAAAUGACAAGUAAUGAGUGGUUGAUUUAAAUGCAGAUUGAGUGGCACAGAUGCAUUAGGCAAUAGCACAUGCUAUUCUCUUUCAAAGGCCACACAUAUUUAAGAGUAAUGUCUGUUGAGAGACGUCAAUUCCUACUGCUUCUGUUCAACAAAUCUGGACCUGAUAUAUUCUCAUGUCCUACUGAUAGUGUAGAUAAGACAGAAUAUAACAUAAAAUAUACGGAUAUGAACAAGAUACAGAUAAUUUGGCUGGAAAGUCCUCACUUUGCCUGGAAACCAAGGUAGCAAAUUUUAUGUUGUUAGUUUUUGUGGUCAGUAGUUGUGGGUGGGACAGACAAGUUAGGUACUCAUGUGAUAGUGUUUUCAUUCACCUAGCCUAGCUGUUUAUUUUGUGUAGUAGGAAACACCUGAUACAAGUUGUUAUAUCCAUGAAAGAAAGGGCAAAUUUAUGUAAGAAAUAGAUGACUGUUAGGAUUUUGUGUGUUAGGAUUAUAAGUUUUUAUAUGUUUAUAUUCACAAAACAAAAAGUAAAUAAAAAUAGACGGGUGCUGGUCCCCAGCAUAUGGUUGCUGGGGAGGGUUUAAACAACAUACAGCUCCUGAACUGUUGGAUCAGAUGAGGGACGGCUGAGAUAAAAAAAAAAAUGUUCUCGUCCAGCGCUUAAAAACCGCUGAACGGUACACGUAGAAUUUUUUUAUUUUUUUUGUGUCCAGCGCCUAAGAAGCGCUGGAAGCACAGGCAAAUUUCAUGUGCGGCUCUGGAGCCUGUUAUCAAGUUCUCAAAAGGUUUAUUAGCCUUGUUCAUUGAAAAUAGCUCUCAUUCUUGUUAUCAUUUUUUCUAGAAGAUCUUGACAAGCCAAAUGAAUAUAUAUCUUCUGUCUGGGCCUUGGUGCCUCCGGUAACUCCCAAGCCAGGCCCCUGAUUCACCAGAAUUUUAUUAGGAGAUAAUUCCAAAGAUGUGAAGGGUUCUCGAUUUGCAAAAUUCAUAGCUGAAAGACAGAAAAUGCUAAAGAAGAUUUCUGACAGAUAAAUUAGAUAGCUCUUUUAUCAAAUUUCUUCCCAGCAAGUUGUGACAGUUGCCCAAUUCCAGUAUAAAUUAGGAAGAGAACUGCCACCAACUGGAAAUAUACUUUGAAGAUCCACUAGAAGCCAUGAAAAAAUAUAUCACCACAUCUGCUUCUGCUGCAGAAGAAUGAGAGCUAUUUUUAAGAUAAAUGAGGCUAUUAACCUUUUGAGAACUUGAUAAUAGGCUCCAGAGCUGCACAUGGAAUGCGGAAUUUCAGAUGUUGUAUAAGCAUCCCUCCAUCAUGCCUUGUAUUGCUGCAUCAACAUUAAUUUAUAUCUUCUCUGGUUGCCUGUGCUUCCAGUGCGUUUUAAGCGCCGGACACAAAAAAAUAUCCUCUCGUCCAGUGCUUAAAAACCGCUGGAUGUGUACCAUUCAGUGUACACAUCCAGCGGUUUUAAAACGCUAGACGAGAACAUUUUUUCUUCUGAUCUCAGCCGUCCCUCGCUAUAUCCAACGGUCCAGAAACCGUAUGUUGUUUAAACUCUCCCCAACAAUCAUAUACUGGGGACCAACACCCAAAACAGAUUGUUGAAAUAUAGCAUAAGGUCCAUUCUAGGCCUUCCUCUAACACUUUAAGGUUUCAGAUGGAUUGUUUUUCAACAUGGUAUCAGCCAUCAGGGCUCUGAUUUGGCGGAGGUCUCAAAUGUCCACGUAGGCAUUAAUUACCCCAAAGAUGGGCGCCCGUGAUUCCCUCUUUAACCCAAAAAUGGGACUCCAGACCGCGUCUUCACUAAUUCCUUGAGAGCCGUCAUUUUGGCUCACAACUUCACCACUUCUGAUGAAUGACCUUUACUUGAGCAAUCCUCCUUCAAUUCCUCAUGCUCCGACCAAUCAUCUGCAGAUGCUUUCUUCUUGCGUCGAAACGAGCUAUACGAGCCAACCGAAUCCUCCCUUCUAGAGCGUUCACUAUACGCUGAACCUCGAAAGGAGGAUUCGUAAUCCUCUGUUGGAUACUCGGAUGAAGCAACAUGCUCAUCCUUCUUUUUCGCAAAUUCCUCUUCCCAUUUCUCAGCCUCACGCCUCUGCUUCAUCUGAAACUCUAUCCGUCUCCGCUCGCGGUCAAGGGUGUCAAGUUCGCUCUUGAUCGCUUCACGGUUCAACUGCUCCUUAUCUUCAACAGCCAAUCUUUUGGCCUUAAGCUUCUCUAAAUGCAAUCUCGCAUCACCAGAAUGUGCCUUUUUACCUUGCGGCGUCACUGCCAGUGUGCGUGUACGGCGACGUCGCCUACUACCACCUCCGGUAGGAUCCGAAUAAGCCGGACCACCGCGAGAUUCACCUGCUCUAGUUUCGAACAGCUUUUUGUGUUUUAGUGUCUAUCUCCUUAGUUACUAUCACCUCUCGUGUUUCCAGAACUUGUAUCGUCUCCCUCGCUUCAUCUGCCAUGGUAGAUCUGCCCCCUCCUUCUAGCGCCAAAUGCUGAUCUGCCCUCUCCUUCUAGCGCCAAAUGCUGGAACAGUGUAUGUAUGUUUAUUACAGAGUGUAUGUAUCUAUUCUAUUCUCAGAUUCCAACCCUGUGUUAGCUGCUCUGUUUAUAUAGCACUCUGGCACGUGACUUCCUCAUGCUUGCUGUUUGGGCUUAUUCUUCUUUGGGCUGCCUCUCACUCUGGGCCAAGGCCCAACAACUUCAACAGUUCCAAAGGGUUACUUGGCAGUAUAUAUUGGGGAGAAGCAAAGAAAAAGAUUUGUGGUUUCCAUUUCAUACCUGAAUGAUCCUGCCUUCCAAGACUUGUUAAAUCAAGCUGAGGAAGAAUUCAUUCAUUCACCAUUCAUUCACUAUUCCCUGCUCAGUGGAAACAUUCAUUCACCUUACUUCACGCCUGGAUAGAUUAUAGUGAGAAAACAUUUAUGUACAGGUAGAUAGUACAACACUGAAAUGUAUAUAGUAGAAUAGGGAUUUUGAUCAGAUUUUUGUUGGCAACGGAUAAUUUGAUACUCACCAUUUUGUUGAAUUUAACAUCACCAGAAUUUAUCGAUCAUAGUUACUUCUUAUAAAUCUGGAUUAAUAUAAAGAAAAAAAAAACUUGAUUCCCAAAUUAGUAACUUUUUCAUGUAAUAUAUGCACUCCUAAAGCAAAUUCUACAUAGGAAGGGAUUUUGAAGUCUCCUUAUGAUUUGCAUAGAAGGGAAGUGGAUUUGGUGUAUGUUUGUACCCAGAUUUUACAGGCGUCAGGACACGACGUGAACUGCACUGACACGACGGGAAGUACUGGCGACAAGACAUGUAGUGGCAGAUGGAUAAGCAUGAAGACUGGGUCUUAACAAACCCACCUUUUUAGGGGGAGAAUUCAAAUGGAAGUUAGAGAGGUGCCAGGAAUAUAGGAGGAAGUUACAUGCACGUGGGAGUUAAGUGGAGAGAAAAUAGGAGUUGCAUAUGGGAUAGGACUCUUGGAAGACAAGUAUAUAUACGGAGGGCACAUUACACUACUUCUAGGUUAUCUCUACAUGCUGCAUAAUAGACUCUGAGUUAUCUUCUACUCAUUACAUUGUAGUGCAACUCUAAGAGAUUAUCAUCAAGAGACUUCUACACGCCUACAACUUCUUCUUCUACCUAAUACCAUUAUUUUUCUUACGCAUAAACCCCAAACCAAGCCCAAGAUAUACAAAUUGAUACACACACAUAUAUACAUAUAUUAACAUACAAGGAUUUCUCUUCUUCAACUUAUAUCAGCUGAGUUACACAUCUUCAUCUCCCUCAAAUCAUUCUGCCGACGGGUACAUAGAGGUGUCGACGGGUGCACACUGCUGUUGGACGGGUGCAUGCUGCUGUCGGACAUGAACUACUUCUGAAGCCGACGUCUGCGUAUUUUUGUACUUGUAUCUUGCUUUUAUCAUACUUGUAAGCUGAUGUUACAUCAUUAUAGUGGAUAUUUGGCUGGGACAUUCCCACCCGCGGUUUUUAACCUUUUACAAGGGGUUUUCCGCGUCACCAAAAUUGUUUGUGUUCUUGUCUUUUGCUCUCUAUUCGAUAUUCAUCUAUUUGAUCUACUAAACAUUCAUACAUUAAACACUUACUCCAUUGUUAUAGAAAUUAAAUAGGCUUGGCUUUUAACCCCGCAAAUUUUGGUAAAAACAGGUGUUUGACUGGUUGCUCGUUCUGGACUUGAUUCAUAUUGACAGCAGCAUAUCUAUGGGCUGAGAAUACACUGGUUCUAGUUGGUGACUUUAAAAUUCAGUAAUAUGAAAUAUAAUUUUCAUAUGGUGUUAGAAGUUGAGUUUUAGCAUACAUGUUUGAAAAGAGACCAUGCAACUAUUAAAUUGAUCGAGAGAAAUUAUUACACGCCACAAAGGUUUCCUUUAGGAAUCUUAAGUAUCCAAGACUGCAGGCUGUUCCUUCGAUUUUAGGCAUCUAGAAGAUUUUCUGAUUACAAUGAGACAGCAGAUUUUCUUGUGUCUUGGCUACCUGCUGCAUGUAAUUAUAUAUGAUUUAAACUGUGAUGUCAAGUCUGGUCAGAGUUGAAAAGUUAAACUUAUCUACCCAGAACAAUUAAAUGAUGUUCUUGAUAAAAACAGCAAAUUUCAGAUGCAAUGAUUGAGGAACGAAGACAGGUUUACAUAUUAUCUUGUAGGUACUAAAAUGAAAAAAAAGGGAAUGAAACGUCUGGCUUACAUGAAGACUACAAAAAAACCUGCACAACUGAAAUUGGAGGGUGAGUCUGUCAGCUAUUAGAGUGAAAUUGAAUAAACAUGUUAUUUGCAUCCAUCCAAAGAGUUCUCGGUAAUUCCAGGAUAGCAAUAUGUAUGAAUGAAUAGAUACUUAUUAACUAAGCAAAAGAAAUUCUUCACUGAUGAUUUCUAAAAAAACAUAUUUCUGUGUAAUGAGAUGGUUACUUUGAUCUUCCCUAGGUUACCAGAUGGAAGUGGAUUGACUAGUAUACAUUACAAACUGGAACCUUGCAAAAUUGUUAGUACCAGAUAAUAGCUAUUUCAAAUAAAAAAGUACUUACAAAGAUAUAUAAUACCUAAAAGAUUAAAGAUUGCAGAGAUCAAAUCCAUGUAGAAAUUAAUGUGAUCAAAUUACAAUUAAAGUAUCAGCUAUUGCUCUACCUAAAAGAUUUAUAUGGGAGUCAUAUAUAAAAUUUCUGGACUAGUUUACAAAAUUUGUACACUAUCUAACAACAUAUAUAUAAACUCUCAUAAUCUGUUCAACAGAUCAAUGAAGGUGUCUUCUUUGCAUGGAAUUGUCAGGCCUCCUUCAGGAUGACUAAACCCAAAUUCUUCCUCAGCUUGACUUAACAGGUCUUGGAAUGUGGGCUCGUUUAAGUAAGAGAUCGGAACUACAAAUCUUCUUCUUUUGUUCUCCCCAACAUAAACUGCAAUACAUCCUUUAGGGACAUUUGUACUACGAUCAAGAUUCUUUAAGGAAAAUUGUCUGUUGAGAAUUUGCUUGAGAUUAGUGAUAUGAGGCACACGAACACCCAUGAUGCUCAAGAAAAAUUGAAACUUCAAAGGAUAAUCUUCGGGGAUUAUGGAGAAUACAAGAACUUCUGCAGAUGGUAGGCUUAGACCCUCAAUUAGACUUGAUUUUGUGAUGAAUUUGGUUGAGGAUAUCACAGUUUUUAUAUGGAAAUAGCAAGUAAUGAGCGGUUGAUCAAAAUGCAGAUUGAGUGGAACAGAUGCAUUAGGCAAUAGCACAUGCUAUUCUCUUUCAAAGGCCACACAUAUUUAAGAGUAAUGCUAGGACUUGAAUGUCUGUUGAGAGACAUCAUGUCCUACAAAUCUGGACCUUAUAUUUUGUCAUUUAAAUUUAGGUUUUAUGCGUAUAGUGGAGUUAAGACAGAAUAUAACACAAUAUAUACGGAUAUGAACAAGGUACAAAAAAUUUGGGUGGAAAGUCCUCACUUUGCCUGGCAAGCAAGGUAGCAAAUUUUAAGUUCUUAGUUUUUGUGGUCAGUAUUUCUGGGUGGGACAGACAAGUUAGGUACUCAUGUGAUAGUGUUUUCAUUCACCUAUCCUAGCUGUUUAUUUUGUGUAGUAGGAAACACCUGAUACAAGUUGUUAUAUCCAUGAAAGAAAGGGCAGAUUUAUGUAAGAAACAGAUUAUCAGACUUACUACACAACUUUCUGAUUGUUCUAUAUAAACACAUAAUUAAGCUCACUGGUCUAAAGUCUUUUCCAUAAAACUAUACAAGUCCUAGUGUUUAUCCAGUUUCCUGAACUCUUCUCUGAAAGAUCUUUGGUGUCAUGGGUAUCCGUAUGCCUCCUAUUACCAAUCUCAAACAAAUCCUUAUCCGCUCAUCUUACUCUUUAAAUCUCUGGGGAUAUGGAAACUUCUGCAGGUGGAAGGCUUAGACCCUUAAUUACACUUGAUUUUGUGAUGAAUUUGGCAGAGGAUAUCACAGUUUUUAUAUAUUCAUUUAAAGAGAUAUAUUCAUACAUUCACCUGAAUUAAGCUAAAAUUUUGUAAUUUCCCUGAAAAGCCUUCCAAUCUAAUAAAAAUUAAAAUAGAUACCUUAUAUACAAAUUUUAUAANCACCCAUGAUGCUCAAGAAAAAUUGAAACUUCAAAGGAUAAUCUUCGGGGAUUAUGGAGAAUACAAGAACUUCUGCAGAUGGUAGGCUUAGACCCUCAAUUAGACUUGAUUUUGUGAUGAAUUUGGUUGAGGAUAUCACAGUUUUUAUAUGGAAAUAGCAAGUAAUGAGCGGUUGAUCAAAAUGCAGAUUGAGUGGAACAGAUGCAUUAGGCAAUAGCACAUGCUAUUCUCUUUCAAAGGCCACACAUAUUUAAGAGUAAUGCUAGGACUUGAAUGUCUGUUGAGAGACAUCAUGUCCUACAAAUCUGGACCUUAUAUUUUGUCAUUUAAAUUUAGGUUUUAUGCGUAUAGUGGAGUUAAGACAGAAUAUAACACAAUAUAUACGGAUAUGAACAAGGUACAAAAAAUUUGGGUGGAAAGUCCUCACUUUGCCUGGCAAGCAAGGUAGCAAAUUUUAAGUUCUUAGUUUUUGUGGUCAGUAUUUCUGGGUGGGACAGACAAGUUAGGUACUCAUGUGAUAGUGUUUUCAUUCACCUAUCCUAGCUGUUUAUUUUGUGUAGUAGGAAACACCUGAUACAAGUUGUUAUAUCCAUGAAAGAAAGGGCAGAUUUAUGUAAGAAACAGAUUAUCAGACUUACUACACAACUUUCUGAUUGUUCUAUAUAAACACAUAAUUAAGCUCACUGGUCUAAAGUCUUUUCCAUAAAACUAUACAAGUCCUAGUGUUUAUCCAGUUUCCUGAACUCUUCUCUGAAAGAUCUUUGGUGUCAUGGGUAUCCGUAUGCCUCCUAUUACCAAUCUCAAACAAAUCCUUAUCCGCUCAUCUUACUCUUUAAAUCUCUGGGGAUAUGGAAACUUCUGCAGGUGGAAGGCUUAGACCCUUAAUUACACUUGAUUUUGUGAUGAAUUUGGCAGAGGAUAUCACAGUUUUUAUAUAUUCAUUUAAAGAGAUAUAUUCAUACAUUCACCUGAAUUAAGCUAAAAUUUUGUAAUUUCCCUGAAAAGCCUUCCAAUCUAAUAAAAAUUAAAAUAGAUACCUUAUAUACAAAUUUUAUAAGAAGUUAACAGAAACUACCCUAAAAAUUUCACAUUCUACCUCAGAGAUCAGGGAAGUCAAGUUUUAAGGUGUUUUUCGUUAACAGACUGAGACUGGUAUUUUUACGGACAAAUAGAAUUUGCUAACUAAACGUAUUUGAGAUAAGAACCGAUUACAAAAAAUCUACAAGAACGAAUAAUUUCAUGUAUUCUUGAUGCCUAAAAGAUUUUCAUGGAAAGUCUCAGUCAAAUAUAAAAUGUCUGGACUAGUUCACAAAAUUUGUAAACUAUCUAACAACAUUUCAGUAAGUAUGUAUCUGUACAGAUAUAUAUAAGCUCUCAUAAUAUGUUCAAGAGAUCAAUGAAGGUGUCUUCCUUGAAUGGAAUUGUGAGGCCACCUUCUGGAUGACUAAACCCAAAUUCUUCCUCUGCUUGACUUAAAAGGUCUUGAAAUGAAGGCUCAUUUAAGUAAGAGAUCGGAACUACAAAUCUUCUUCUUUGGUUCUCCCCAACAUAAACUGCCAUGCAUCCCUUAGGGACAUUUGUACUACGAUCAAGAUUUGUUGAGGUGAAUUGGCGGUUGAGAAUUUGCUUAAGACUAGUGAUACGAGGAACAUGAAUACCCAUGAUGCUAAAAUCAAAAAUUUGUAGUAUUCAGGAUAAACUCUGCUGAUAUUAAAAUACAAGGACUUUUGCAGAUGGAAGGCUUAGAACUUGAAUACAAUGGAUUAUGUGAUAAAUUUGGUUGAGUUUAUAAUAGCUAUUUUAUAGAGCACAUAGGAAGUAGUAUUGAACAUUUGAUUGAGUGGCACAGAUGAAUUAGGCAUUAGCACAUGCUAUUCUCUCUCAAUGGCCACAUAUGUUUAAGACUAAUGGUAGGACUUAAAUGUUUGAGUCUUGUAGUGUGGAUAAGAGAGUAUACAAAAAUGUUUGAGUCUUGUAGUGUGGAUAAGAGAGUAUACAAAUAAUUUGGCUGGAAACUCUUGAGUUUUAGUUGUGACAGACAAGUUAGGUGCUCAUGUGAUUGUGUUUUCAUUUACCCAUCCUAGCUGUUUAUUUUGUUGAAUUGAUGAAUCAUUUAGUAGAAAACAGUAGCUGCUGGGGAUUAAUCAAGCAGACGUAGUAGGGCUUGAUGUCUCGCAACACACAUAAAUCUAAUCUUCUUGGUCAUAUAUACUUGUAGCUAUCAGAACAUAAUAUCAUGUGCUAGUGUCUACUGCUUCUUCACCACUCGGAUAAUAUUUCUAAUAAAUUCUUUGAGUAGUUCUAUGUUCUAUAUAUACAUAUAUUUAAGCAUUCGUAGAAUUCAUCACAAACUCAAUUGCUUCAAGCUUUAAACUUACAUUUCCUUGUGUUUCUGUUGUUUCCCCCCAACUUUUCACUAAAAGAUCUGUUGCAUCAUGGGUAUUCGUGUGCCUCGCAUUGCUAAUCUCAAAAAAAUCCUCAACCGGUCAUCUUUCCUGAUAAAUCCUGAUCUUACUUCAACAAUUCCAAAGGGGUGCUUGGCAGUUUAUAUUGGGGAGAGGCAAAGAAGCAGAUUUGUGGUUGCGGUUUCAUACCUGAAUUUUCCUGCCUUCCAAGAAUUGUUAAGUCAAGCCGAGGAAGAAUUUGGAUUCAAUCAUCCGGAAGGAGGUCUUACGAUUCCUUGCUUAGUGGACACAUUCAAUGAAAUUGUAGAAUCGGAUUAUUUUAUACAUAUACAUCUAGAGAGCAUAGCACCUUCGAUCUCAUUUGAUGAGCUUCAGAUUGUAAAUUGUAGAAUCGGAUUAUUUUAUAAAUGCUUAUUACAUAUUUACGUAGAGCAAUAAAAAACUCUGUUUUUAAAACAUCCUUUGACAGAUUGAUUAAUAUAGAGCAUCACGGUUAUUUGUAUGUCUGUAUUGCUAAUCUUGAACAAAUCUUGACCAGUAAUUUUGUUGAUAUAUCUGACAUGUAAAUGAAUUUUAAAUAUUUAUAUGCUCCCCUAGUCAGGUUAUGACAUAAACUCUUAUAGUCUUCGACUCUUCGUUUACAUGUUAAGCUAUUCUAGUCACUUCCACGCUGCACCAUGUUGAUAACUGACGAAAAUGUUAACAUUUAAUUUUGUAAUUGACCUAAAAAGAGAUCAGAUUCAUACUGCUUGUACAAAAUAACAAAAUGAAUGAUUAAUUUGAGUCAAACUGGAAAGGAAUGAUCAAUUUGAGUCAAACUGGAAAGGAAUGAUCUACUUGAUAUAUUUGGAUGAAACGAGUGACCAACUUGAUAUUUUUCCUAAAAAAAUAUCAUAGAAAUAUGGAGUAUGAAACUAGCAAGGAAUGGAAGUCGACACAGGAAGAAAGAUUGAGCAAAAUACAAAGAAAUGUUGAGAAUACAUAGUGGUUUGAUUUGAUUUCUCUUUGAUUCUUUUUCGAGUUGAUCUACACCAAACCUUCUUGUGAUCUAUGUUGUUUGGUUAAUUAUCUGUACAGACAAUUGUUCAUAUUAUAUUAUUAAUUAUCAAUGCAGCCACCCCCUAUUCUUUGGAAUUUGAGGGUACUUUAGAUCCUUUAAUUUGAUGAACAAUAACACAAGCAAACCUGAACAGAACUGCUGAAAAAAGUUCUCCAGUAAAUCUCCAAAUUCUGCAGCAGCAUAAAUUUAAUCAUAAGAAUUUGCUUAAAAUUUACCAAAUUAUACACAAAAUUAGGCAAAUGUAUGCAUAAAAUAAGAAGUCAGCAGAAUCACAAACUAAAUUCCGUAGAUUAUAAGAGCAUCGGAGUCCAUAAUACAGAUUGCCUACUAAACUUUGCCGCAGAAAUUUUAUAAAUCAAUAAGUGUUCUAUGAAGACUUACACAACUAAUUUGCUGUAGAAUAGACAAAAUGUUCCUCAAACAAAAAAUUAAAAAUAACCCUAAUAUCAGAAUAUCAUUCAACUGCCUUCAUAGACAUUGAUACAUCCUUAAUCCUUUGAUGUGAGAUUGCUAGUUAAAACAAAAGUUAGUAUUUGGCGGGCUAGAUUGUGGAUAAUACAUGACAUGUCCUUGUAAAAAAAGAAAUUUAAAGAAAGGACAAACUUAUAGGAGAUAUUAAAACCUUCACAAUAAACGGAAGAUGGACAACAAAAGAACUUUUAAGAAAAUAUUCAGAAUCCAGGAAUAGGCUACUAGUAAAGUUGAUCCCCGACCUUUCCUAAUGACAAGGUCUGUGGUUCAUAUCCACACUCCACUUCGCUUUGAAGUCCCGCGUUAUAAGCAUGCAUGUUUUUAUUCCUUUGCCUCAACCUUAAGGUUUAUGUGAUGGAACCUUGCAAGACUAUUUCAACUGUUGAUGAUUAGCAACUUAAGAAGCAGAAUCAUAUCGUUCCGCCAUAAAGUUGAAUGGCAAUAAAAUAAUGAUAAUUAGUCUGCAAGUUCAAAUUACAAAAGUUAGUCUGUAAUCAGAACCUAAAACAGCCUAAAAUAAUAUAGAAAAAAAAGGGUGCCUAAAUUUAACUGAACUGCUUUCUUAAAAAUGGCAGUACAUCUCCUUUAGUCUCAGAUUUUUACAGCUUGUGCAAUCACAUAUGCACAUAUCUAAAAUUUUAUGAGGCUCGUGGUUCGUGAUGUUAAAUGAGACCUUGGUUGUCAGAACUGUGCUGCUGCUACUGGACAUAAAAGAGAACUGUAUUAUUGUUUGCUGCUAUAUUUAUCGGAAUGUUUAACAUAGCAUACUUCAUUCAGAGAAUAUAGAAUAUGAGAUUGACUCCUAAAAUUGACAAAAUCUUGACAGCAGAUGCAAUACAAAUCUGGAAAAAAAGCGCAUAAAAAAAAGUUGCGGACUAAUGGGAAAAACUUUAGCAUUCAGAAUAUUAUGUAGACAUAUCACAAAACAGAAAAUCCUCAUAUUCUGCAAACUAUGCUAAAAUCUGCAGUAAAUCUCUGAAUUAUGCAGAAACCCAGACUCUAUUUCUCUUAAGUUCUUUUGGAUUAUAUCGAGAAACUAAGUUGAUCGAAAAACCUUUAUCUCGCACAUCUACUUUCUGUAAUUCGACUUUAAAAACAAACUAAAAAUUGCACAUUUUUCUCCUUUUUACCCUUAACAAAAACAUUUCAUGAAUAUCCAUCAAGUCUAUAAUAAUUAAAAUUUCAAUAGUAGAAAUUAACUUAUAUACUUGCUUAUGCGGAGAACGGAUUAUAGGUUAGUUUCUAACUAAUUAAUCAAUAUAUUUCCUUGUAUAAUUUAAUUUAUAGGUCAUUUAUUUUCAUGAAUAUUCUUCAAAAGGCUAGGAACCUGCCCACUGGCUCCAUAGCCAACACAGGUAGGUAAUUCGGAGUCUCGGACUAACCGAGCGAUAAGACCCGGUGGGUGGGAACUUCCUUGCGAUACGCACGGAUAGGAACCCGAUCCCCUUUCUUCUGUCUCUUCAACUCGGGUGAACGUCAGGGAGCUGGUGAGGUUCGAACCCAUGACCCUUUGGAUCAAAGCAAGGCCCCGUUUCCACUGGGACAGCUCUCACACUUAUUUUCAAGAAUAUUGCUUUACAUCAAAUCAAGUUAAAAUUUUAUAAUUUCGAUAAAAACCCUUGAAUUGGAAAUAAUUAAAAGAAAAAUAACUUACAUAAAAAUUUAAGAUAAUUAUGCAAAAAAAUACCCCAACAAUUUGAUAUUCUACGUCGAGGAUAAUUUAAGUUUCAAAGCAAAUAAAUAUUUAUGUUUUUAUCAUAUUCACAGAUGGACUUUGCUGUUUAAUUGAGUAUAUACAUAUAGUAUGUAUGAGUUUAUAACCAGUGAUACAGAACACCUUCAAGAAAGAAUAAUUUCAAGAAUUAACACUCAAAUUUUUUUUAGUACUGCAAUUCAUUUCUCAUACAAUGCUCAAGCAAGAAGUGAGUUAAAGGAACAUGUCUACUCUACAUGGAAUAGUAAGACCACCUUCUACAUGAUCAGAUAAAGAUUUCAAGAGAGACUAGCACAUGGGUCUGUAUUUAUGUUACCCUACUGCUUCUUGUACCACUAAAUACAUGCUUCAGACAAGGAUUAGAAUGUUGAUUUUAUGUUUGAUUAUGUUAAAAAUUCAAAUAACUGGACACCUAACUAUUAAAGGCAGAGCUAUCAGACAACUAAGAAAUUUGAUUAUCCUUGGUAUUUGUAGGGCAAGUUGUGUCUUGGUAAGCAGAGAAUAUAUCCCAAACUCCUCCAACCUUGCUAUACAUUCUCUAUUUGUAGGACAUCACCAUGUGCUACUGACUUAUUAUUUCGUUUUCAUUGUUCAAGAAACCUUCUAUAUAAACAUAGGGACUUUGACAUAAAUCAACACAAGCAUACAAGCAAACCUUCAUUUCUUUUAUCAAGCAUCGUCUCAUCCUUUCCUUCUCGACAUCCACUUUAAAAAUACCAACUUAGAAACAUGGGUAUCCGCAUGCCUCGUAUUCCUCAUGUCAAGAAAAUCUUUCAGGGGUCUUCUUUGGCAACUACAGCAGUUUCAGACAUCCCAAAGGGCUGCUUGGCAGUUUAUGUUGGGGAGAGCCAAAGAAAAAGAUUUGUUGUUCCAAUUUCAUACUUGGCUGAGCCUGCCUUCCAGGACUUGCUAUGUCAAGCUGAGGAAGAAUUCGGUUUUGAUCAUCCAGAGGGGGGUCUUACAAUUCCCUGCAGAGAAGAUGUAUUUACAGAUCUCGCCUCAAGCUUGAGAAGAAAAUCAUAGAGAAGAACAUAAUCAAAAAAGUAGUUUAGAAAUUUUUUGUAAGCUAGUAGGAGAUAAGUUAGAAUAGGUUGGACCAAAGGCAUAAUUAUGCAAAUACUUUCUUCUGGUAUCUCAUGGAAUCAUUUUCAAUGAGGAAGAUCAUUACUUAAAAUUUUGUAAAAUAUUAAACUAUAUACUUCCCAUUAUAAUUUUAUGAUCUAACUAUGUUGUUUGCAAAUAACUUCCUAUCUGUAAUCAGUUCCACGUUAUUCUCAAAUUGAUCGAAAUUGGCAUAUAAGAUUGUGUUAACAGAUAAAUUUAUUGAAAAUCGAUAUGGGAGAAAGAAGCCUCUUAUCUUAUAUUCCUAUAUUUCAGAAAGAAUUAGUCAGAACCUAUCUACAGUUGCUCUGUGAUCAUAUUUACUGUGAAUACUAAAUUGAUCAAGCAUCGACCUGCAUAAACAUACAAUUCUCCUGUAUUUCCAUCGCGAAGAUCAUUGCAUAAAAAGCGGUCAAUUUAUAAACAAUCUAUAUCUCCUAUUAUAUCCUUUGACCGGAUUAUUUAGCUUGAUUGCCUUCCUCAUUUACAUCAUUUCCACAUAAUUCAGCAAUUAAAUCAACAGUUGCAUCUAAUUGUGUGUAAGAAGUAUGGUUUCAUGAAGAACUUGAAUGUCUUUUCCCUAUAUAUGGUUUCUCUCUGACAUUUGUUUCUUUAGAGGGAAUUGAUCUUUUCCCUAUAUAUGGUUUCAUGAAGUACUUGAAUGACUAUCUCUAUAUAUUUGUUUCUUUAGAGGGCAUGCCGAAAACACUUUAAAAAGGUAAAAACAAUAUACUAAUUUUCUUUUGGACUGUUCUGUAGAAGGAUAUGUUCAUUAAACCUUUUCUGACAGUCAAUUUAUUUCUGGUGGUUUCUAUUUCUUCAUGUUUUAUCUCUUAGGUAGAAAAAACAUUGUCACAUGAAGACCUAAUAUGUGAAACCCGCCAUAAAAUUAUUGAUGACAUAAUAUGCAAAUUGUAGGACAUCACGUGUUUAUGUAUACCAUUUCAAGAUAAUGUCACUUUCUGUAAUCUAUUGUGGAUGAUUUGGGUAGAGAUUUGAUAAGUAGGGGCAUGCUGUCUUGCAACAGACAGAGAAGUCAUUCUAUCACUCAUAAAUACAUGUAGCUAUUGAAAGAGAAAAUCAUGUGCUAUUGUCUAAUGCCUCUUCACCACUUGAAGUACAAAUUGAUGAACUGUUCAAUAUUUUCUAUUUUUGUAUAUAAAUACAUAACAGGGCAUUAAUAAAUUCAUCACAAACUCAAUCAUCUAAAGUCUUCACCAUACAAGUUCUUUUCUUUCUCCAUAUUCUCUAAACAAUCUAGGAGUAUUAUGGGUAUUCAUAUGCCUCGUGUUACUAAUCUCAAGAAAAUCUUUAACCCGUCUUCUUUCUUGAUAAGUCCUGAUUAUACCUUAACAGUUCCAAAGGGGUGCUUGGCAGUAUAUAUCUUGGAGAAGCAAAGAAGAAGAAGACUUAUCAAGAAAGAAGACGGGUUAAAGAAGAAGGGGGAUUGUCUAUUACAUUACAAACUAGAACCUUCCAAAAUUGUUAGUACCAGAUAAUCUGAAGUGAGGUUAAUGAAUGUUUUCUCUACAUGGAAAAGCCACUUCAGACUAUAAAGACAUGGAAUGUAUAAAGCUACUUAUAUAUAUUUCAAAUAAUAAGUACUUAUAAAGACAUAUAAUGACUACAUACUGAUUGCAGAGAUCAAAUCCAUGUAGAAAUUAAUGUCUCAAAUAUAAAAUUUCUACCUACAAGAUUUAUAUGAGAGUCAUAUAUAAAAUUUCUGGACUAGUUUACAAAAUUUGUACACUAUCUAACAACAUAUAUAUAAACUCUCAUAAUCUGUUCAAAAGAUUAAUGAAGGUGUCUUCUUUGCAUGGUAUUGUGAGGCCACCUUCUGGAUGACUAAACCCAAAUUCUUCCUCAGCUUGACUUAACAGGUCUUGGAAUGUAGGCUCGUUUAAGUAAGAUAUCGGAACUACAAAUCUUCUUCUUUGGUUCUCCCCAACAUACACUGCAACGCAUCCCUUAGGGACAUUUGUACUACGAUCAAGAUUUUUUAAGGAAAAUUGCCUGUUGAGAAUU